UACAGAGGGUGCGAGCGUUAAUCGGAAUUACUGGGCGUAAAGCGCGCGUAGGCGGUUAUGUAAGUUGGAUGUGAAAUCCCUGGGCUUAACCUGGGCACUGCAUUCAAAACUGCAUAGCUAGAGUAUGGGAGAGGAUGGUAGAAUUCCAGGUGUAGCGGUGAAAUGCGUAGAGAUCUGGAGGAAUACCGAUGGCGAAGGCAGCCAUCUGGCCUAAUACUGACGCUGAGGUGCGAAAGCAUGGGGAGCAAACAGG
RNAcentral lists this ribosomal RNA (253 nucleotides) under uncultured bacterium. RNAcentral describes it as "partial 16S ribosomal RNA". It matches the Rfam family "Bacterial small subunit ribosomal RNA", at positions 524 to 776 of the family's 1533-position model. The record is from RNAcentral.